AACGAACACAACCGCGUUCUUGAAGUAACAGAUUUCGAUUCAAGAAUUCGACAUUGCUUGGAGUUUUCUGUUGUCUUUUUGCGCCAUCAGUCGCUCAGGCUUCGGUUCCUUUGCUUAACAAAUGCAAUAAGGCACCACUUUUGUCAUUCUUCUUCAUCUCCUGUAUCUCAUGAUUUUGUUAUUGGCGCCAUUACUAAGCGACGAUGUCAAACCUCGUCGGCUCAGACGCCUAGACAAAACCACAAAUGAUUGGUAUACGUCAUUUUUAAUUAAAACGAUGAGAUAAUACGUCGUUUUACUGCAGCGGAAGCCAAGGGCUAAUUCACGACCCACGAAGCCAUCAAAUUUUCAACUCCAA
RNAcentral lists this unclassified non-coding RNA (358 nucleotides) under Hevea brasiliensis (rubber tree). The record is from RNAcentral. Lineage: Eukaryota; Viridiplantae; Streptophyta; Magnoliopsida; Malpighiales; Euphorbiaceae.